Molecule: ribosomal RNA, 266 nt
Filed under: uncultured bacterium
Lineage: Bacteria
Description: partial 16S ribosomal RNA
Rfam family: Bacterial small subunit ribosomal RNA
Source: RNAcentral
GUCCAAGCCGUAAACGGUGCACGUUUGCUGUGGGCGGAAUCGACCCCGUCCGUGGCGGAGCUAACGCGUUAAACGUGCCGCCUGGGGAGUACGGUCGCAAGAUUAAAACUCAAAGAAAUUGACGGGGCCUGCACAAGCGGUGGAGUAUGUGGCUCAAUUCGAUGCAACGCGAAGAACCUUACCUGGCCUUGACAUGCAUGUGGUAGAAGCCUGAAAGGGUGACGACCCCGCAAGGGGAGCAUGCACAGGUGCUGCAUGGCUGUCGU